Small nucleolar RNA from Chionomys nivalis (European snow vole), 79 nucleotides. The record is from RefSeq and is a predicted model, not a curated record. NCBI's taxonomy places the organism in Eukaryota, Metazoa, Chordata, Mammalia, Rodentia, Cricetidae.
GCGGCGCCAUAUCAUUGCUAGCGCAUAACUGGGGCCGCCUGCCCAUUGCGGGCGGUCCUUUUAACUGCUAGCUACAGAG